Molecule: non-coding RNA, 925 nt
Organism: Danio rerio (zebrafish)
Lineage: Eukaryota; Metazoa; Chordata; Actinopteri; Cypriniformes; Danionidae
Source: RefSeq, a predicted model, not a curated record
AUUGCUUUAUUUCUUCAUGCUAAAUAAGAUACAUAAAUCGUGAAUAUUCAAACAAACCUAUGAUUUCGACAACAAUCUGUUCCAACAUUACACACACACAAAAGCCGUAAUGAAGUUAUUACGAGCGAGUAACAUUUCGGCAUUCCGUUAACGGACGGCAACAACAUUAAAAUCAUUAUGUUAAAUCUCUCGAUAAAACAUUUCCUGAUUAUUUACCUACGCCUUGUCUUUAGUCAAAUGGACAAUAAUGUUUUUGAAGUUCAGUUUUUUCCAUAUCCAUCGUGAUCAGUUAGUAUGAUACUUCAUCACACAAGCCGACCCACUUUUUACAAAACACAAAAUAACUUUUAAAAACAAAACAUCUCUGUGCAGAUUGCGUCCCGUUAAAGGAACAGUUCACUCAAAAAUGAUAUGUAACUUACUCACGAAUUAUUUGCCCUGUAAAUAAUAAGUGAUUCCAAACCUUUAAGUUUCUUUAUUCUGUUGAACAUUAAAGACUGUAAGCAUUUGCUUUCAUGGUAGGAAAACACUAUGGAAUUAAAUAGUUACAGUUUUCCAGCUUUAUUUAAUACAUCUUCUUUAUUGUUUAGCAGAAAAAAAGCUAAAUAAGUUUGGAACAAAUAAAGAAUGAGGCUAAAAUGGCAGAAUUGUCAGUUUUGGGCUAUUUUUACAUGGAGAAUGUUUUCAGCUGUUGAAUUCACCUCAGAUCAGUGUUGCUGUAAUUCCUGAUGGAAAGAAGAAUUGAAUGAGCGAGCAACGCCACAACUACAGGACCUCUUCUUUCUCUUCUCAUAAUUUACACUGGAUUAUCCGUUGAAUUUGUUUCUUCCUCUGACUGCUUUCUCCAUACCAACAACUACGACUGGUCUUCAGCUGCGCUCCCCGGUCUGCUGUAUUCUCCAGUCCAGAGCUUCACUGACCAGUG